UUCCAUACCACACGAUGGGUGCCACC
Molecule: non-coding RNA, 26 nt
Filed under: Mus musculus (house mouse)
Lineage: Eukaryota; Metazoa; Chordata; Mammalia; Rodentia; Muridae
Source: RNAcentral